AGCCCCGCGGUGUCAGAGCACGUUGAAUUGCAAAUUCAGAAGUGCAGAUUAAUAUUUUGCCCGGGCUU
This 68-nucleotide transfer RNA is filed under the name Puntigrus partipentazona. RNAcentral's name for it is "tRNA-Cys". Lineage: Eukaryota; Metazoa; Chordata; Actinopteri; Cypriniformes; Cyprinidae. The record is from RNAcentral.